RNAcentral lists this ribosomal RNA (301 nucleotides) under uncultured bacterium. RNAcentral describes it as "partial 16S ribosomal RNA". It matches the Rfam family "Bacterial small subunit ribosomal RNA", at positions 509 to 807 of the family's 1533-position model. The record is from RNAcentral.
CAGCCGCCGCGGGAAUACGAGGGGGGCAAGCGUUGUUCGGAAUUAUUGGGCGUAAAGGGUGCGUAGGCGGUCUGAUAAGUCUUAUGUGAAAUCUAUGGGCUCAACCCAUAGUCUGCAUAGGAAACUGUCAGGCUUGAGGAUGGGAGAGGUGAGUGGAAUUUCCGGUGUAGCGGUGAAAUGCGUAGAUAUCUGGAGGAAUACCGAUGGCGAAGGCAGCCAUCUGGCCUAAUACUGACGCUGAGGUACGAAAGCAUGGGGAGCAAACAGGAUUAGAUACCCCUGUAGUCCCUGUCUCUUAUAC